AUUGAACGCUGGCGGCAGGCCUAACACAUGCAAGUCGAACGGUAACAGGAAGAAGUUUGCUUCUUUGCUGACGAGUGGCGGACGGGUGAGAAAUGUCGGGGAAACUGCCUGAUGGAGGGGGAUAACUACUGGAAACGGUAGCUAAUACCGCAUAACGUCGCAAGACCAAAGAGGGGGACCUUCGGGCCUCUUGCCAUCGGAUGUGCCCAGGUGGGAUUAGCUAGUAGGUGGGGUAACGGCUCACCUAGGCGACGAUCCCUAGCUGGUCUGAGAGGAUGACCAGCCACACUGGAACUGAGACACGGUCCAGACUCCUACGGGAGGCAGCAGUGGGGAAUCUUGCGCAAUGGGCGCAAGCCUGAUGCAGCCAUGCCGCGUGUAUGAAGAAGGUCUUCGGGUUGUAAAGUACUUUCAGCGGGGAGGAAGGGAUUUAAGUGAAUACCUUCGCGUAUUGACGUUACCCACAGAAGAAGCACCGGCUAACUCCGUG
Molecule: ribosomal RNA, 490 nt
Filed under: uncultured bacterium
Lineage: Bacteria
Description: partial 16S ribosomal RNA
Rfam family: Bacterial small subunit ribosomal RNA
Source: RNAcentral